This 440-nucleotide ribosomal RNA is filed under the name uncultured bacterium. RNAcentral describes it as "partial 16S ribosomal RNA". It matches the Rfam family "Bacterial small subunit ribosomal RNA", at positions 338 to 795 of the family's 1533-position model. The record is from RNAcentral.
CCUACGGGGGGCAGCAGUGGGGAAUAUUGCACAAUGGGGGAAACCCUGAUGCAGCGACGCCGCGUGAGUGAAGAAGUAAUUCGUUAUGUAAAGCUCCAUCAGCAGGGAAGAAAAUGACGGUACCUGAGUAAGAAGCCCCGGCUAACUACGUGCCAGCAGCCGCGGUAAUACGUAGGGGGCCAGCGUUAUCCGGAUUUACUGGGUGUAAAGGGAGCGUAGACGGCAGUGCAAGUUUGGAGUGAAAGGCGGGGGCUCAACCCCCGGACUGCGCUGGAAACCGGACGGCUGGAGUGCAGGAGAGGUAAGUGGAAUGCGUGGUGUAGCGGUGAAAUGCGUAGAUAUUAGGAGGAACACCAGUGGCGAAGGCGGCUUACUGGACUGUAACUGACGUUGAGGCUCGAAAGCGUGGGGAGCGAACAGGAUUAGAUACCCGUGUAGUC